UACUUCAGUUUUUUUGUGCUAUCCCAUUGUUUUAUUUACCCUGUUGCUUCCACUGGACGAGUUUUUCAUACCUUGUGUGUAAGAACUUUGGUUUAUGUAAUUUCUACAUGCCAGCCAGUGGGAAGACCAUAUACAAAAACUUGUUGAGAACCACUUGUCUGAAUAUUUUGCUCCAAUGAAAUAAAACUUUCAACAACGGAUCUCUAGGCUCUUGCAUCGAUGAAGAACGCAGUGAAAUGCGAUAAGUAAUGUGAAUUGCAGAAUCUCGUGAAUCAUCGAAUCUUUGAACGCACAUUGCGCCCUAUGGUACUCCAUAGGGCAUGCCUGUCUGAGCGUCAGCUCCUCCCACAAAAACACUCAAGCAUCUUCUUGUGAUGCUUGGAUUACUUUGGAGAGGUAUCGUCCUUCGAUGGAGAUGCCCUCCAGAAAAUUAUAGGCAGUAUGGUUUGCACCAGAACCAGACGUAAUAAUAAUAAAAUCGUUUGUGUUGGGAUAAUAAUUGUACUUGCCUUUGAUUCACCCAUUGAUUUCGGGUGACCUCAGAUCAGGUAGGGAUACCCGCUGAACUUAAGCAUAUCAAUAAG
RNAcentral lists this ribosomal RNA (584 nucleotides) under uncultured fungus. RNAcentral describes it as "eukaryotic LSU rRNA". The stretch from base 185 to 338 matches the Rfam family "5.8S ribosomal RNA". Lineage: Eukaryota; Fungi. The record is from RNAcentral.